CCCGCGGCAAGACGGAAAGACCCCGUGAACCUUUACUAUAGCUUGACACUGAACAUUGAGCCUUGAUGUGUAGGAUAGGUGGGAGGCUUUGAAGUGUGGACGCCAGUCUGCAUGGAGCCGACCUUGA
This 127-nucleotide ribosomal RNA is filed under the name Salmonella enterica subsp. enterica serovar Cerro. RNAcentral describes it as "partial 23S ribosomal RNA". It matches the Rfam family "Bacterial large subunit ribosomal RNA", at positions 2069 to 2195 of the family's 2925-position model. The record is from RNAcentral. Lineage: Bacteria; Pseudomonadati; Pseudomonadota; Gammaproteobacteria; Enterobacterales; Enterobacteriaceae.